AACGUCCUCGUGGGAUCCAAAUGUAGUUACACUGAUCUUGACGUGAAGCUCAUUUUUUCCUUUACACUGUAAAGUGCUGAUAAAUUUUGUUAUUUGUUGGCAAAUGCAGGAGUCUCUACCUCAGGACUAUGCCAGAAUCUUUGCUUUUGAUAAUCUCGCAAGGACUCAAAAGCUUGUACUCAAGCAAGCCCUGAAGAUGGAAGAAGAAAGCAGAGAUGAUUGUGUACCCACUGGAUCAUAUGUACGGCUGCAUAUUAAGGAAGUGCCUCUUGUUGCUGCCUCUAAACUAUCCUCCCUUGUGAGCUCGAAACCCAUUAUAGCAUUUGGGCUUUUACAGCAUGAAUCCAAGAUGUCAGUUCUGCACUUUAGGUAAUCACCAUCUUACUGUUUAUUGUUUUUGUUUGUUUGUUGAUGAGAUCUUGUUUCCUUAUCUAACUUCUCAUCCCCUUUUAACUGUCCUCCGCAGCCUUAAGAAGUAUGAUGGUUAUGAAGAUCCUAUCAAAACUAAAGAAGAACUUAUGUUCCAUGUUGGUUUCCGCCAAUUCGUUGCAAGGUUUGCAAAUUUGUUCCCAUUUCAUCUAAAGUGUAAUAUCUAUUCUUGCUUACAAUCUUCAAUAAUAAUGGCGGGGUUCCUGUUAAACUUUCCAGACCAGUGUUUUCAACCGACAAUUUCAGCUCAGACAAGCACAAGAUGGAGCGGUUUCUGCACCCGGGGCGUUUCUCAUUGGCUUCAGUAUACGGCCCGAUAUCUUUCCCAUCACUUCCUUUGGUAGUUCUGAAGAUUUCUGAAGUGUCGGAUGCUCCUGCCGUUGCUGCUCUUGGUUCCUUGAAAAGCAUUGAACCCAACAAAAUAAUCUUAAAGAAGAUAAUAUUAACUGGGUAAUUUUUUACUUAUUACCUUUCACUUUCCAGUUACAGCCGCAUAUUCUAGUUUACGUUCAUACCAAAGCUCUGUCAUGUGAACCGAGAAUACAAAUUAUAGUUUAAAGUAAUUUUAACCAGUUUUGAAUUUGGCUUGGUUCAGGUAUCCUCAGAGAGUAUCAAAGAUGAAAGCAUCAGUGAGAUAUAUGUUCCAUAACCCGGAAGACGUGAGAUGGUUUAAGGUAAGAAAGAGAAGGAAAAAUAUGGUGGAUUCAAUUAUUUGUCUAAAAUAAGAUAGUAAAAGCUAAAAGCUUGGGGAUGAAACAAUGUUUUUUUUAAUGUGCAGCCUGUAGAAGUGUGGUCUAAAUGUGGGCGUCGUGGUCGCGUGAAGGAGCCCGUGGGUACACAUGGUAAGACACUGUUUCUUAUUUUAAGGAGAGAGAGAGAUUUGAGUUUGGUUUGUAGAAUCUUUUUGCUUAUACAUGUGGACUUUGCACAGGGGCAAUGAAAUGCAUAUUCAAUGGAGUGGUGCAGCAACAUGACGUCGUGUGCAUGAACUUGUACAAGCGUGCUUAUCCCAAAUGGCCCGAGCGUAUGUACCCACAGCUUCUCUAAUUCUAAAUUAUAGAAUGGAGCUGAUGAUGAUGUUCAAGUUUCUCUGGAUCUGUGUUUAAAAAGGCGAUCGCCUUUUGCGCAAAGGCGCAAGGCGCAGUAAGGCGACGGUCCCACCGCCAUAGACCUUUAAGGCGAGGCUAAGUCCGUAAGGCGCUCGCCAUACUGCGCCUUUGGCUUAACUACAAUGCGCCUUAAGCGCUUCGAAAGCGUGCUUUGUAGUUUCUAUUAAAAACUACUUUCACCAAACCCUUAAAACAUCUUGAAAACCAUGUAACAACUACUCUGACCAACCCUUUAAAGACCCUUACAACAUGAAGCUUAGAUUUUUAGUUUUCAAGUUCUCUGUUUUAGUUAUUGGAUUUUAUCAAUGAGUAUAUAGGUGACUGUAUUAGUGUGUAUAUGACUAACUGGUAUAGCUGACUAUAUUAGAUUGUACACGACUCUAACUGUCUGAACUACUCUAUAACUAUCUUUUGUACAUAACCAUACAGUUAUAGUGUGUAGAGCUACCACGUACACAUGCUUCUAACCUAGGAAAACUAUCAAUGCAUUUCUAAGUUCCUCUGUAGCUCUAUACUACUAUUAUAUGUUUGAAUGUGUACUAUCUAUAAGGCGAGCGCCUUGGACCGCCAUGGCGCAAGGCGCAUGGCUCCAACCUCAUCGCCUUAGAGCGCCAUGCGCCUUUUAAAACACAGCUCUGGAUUCAUAUUCUUUACUUUGAUAACUUAUGGACCUGGUUACGUCAAUGUCCUCCAGUUUUGUCAUGUAUGUGAUAAUAUAAUAUGCUUUUUAUUCUUGGCUUCCCUUAUUUUUUAUCAGCGGAACUAAGUAAGCUAUAAAAAAGUUGAAGUCAUCAGCUAAAACCACAAUCCAAACAUAAGACCGAUCAUUAAAAAAAAAGCAAACGAUUAUAUGCGAGGCCUGAUUCGAGUGACAUGUCACUUUGUGAUUGUCGAUCAGUUGUCGGAGAUACGAAAAAGGUUAAACUCAUGAACUUUGUUUAGUAAUGGAACUCUGAGCCAUUUGAAGCUCCUUUUGAAGCCAAUUGCUCAUUUUGCAAUGAGCACAUAGCCCUAAAAUGCAGGAAUACAAUCCGAAUCAUGUUACACCGAGCGAAUCAUGUUACACCGAGAGAAAUUUGUUGCAUGAUUCUCACUCAUGUUAAUUGCCAUUCGUUGCAAUAACAUUAUUAUUAUUAUUUAUUUACUUUUGAUAAAUCCUAUCAGCUGAUCCGGUCGGCACCGGAAGACGCGCACUUUAGUGCUAUAGAGUGGACUAGCCCGAAAGCGUACCACACUGUCUAAUCCGAAUUUGGAAUAUCUUCUGACUAAUGACAGGGGUGGACCAAUCAUCUGUUAUAGUCCACCAUGUAAAGCACUUGGACCGAAGCCCAAGCCGAGACUGACCAAGUAGAGAUUAUUUAGUUUCCAGAGAAAAUCGAACCCAAAACUAAUAUGAGUAUACACCAAACCCUAAGAGAUUGCCACUAGGCUUACCACCAUUUGGUUUCCUUGCAAUAACAUGCUUUUGAGUUUUGGUUUCCUUAUGACAAGAAUCGUUGGUGCCUGUUAAAGACUUGGAGUCCAAUAAGAUAAACAAAGAGCAUUUUGCGAGACAAUGGCCCUCGAGUUUGGGAAGAUUCUUCUCAGGGUGAGGAGAAGGUUUUAGCCUUUUAAUCAUAUAAGGGUACAUUCUACCUAGUUGACUAUAUCUUGACUGUAUAUUGACUUUAAAGUUAAAACUCUUAAUAUAAAAGGGUAUAUUCAUUUCAUUGCAAAAGCUUUUGUUGAUACGAACAUGUUUAACUUUACUUCAUAUUACGUUCAGGACAAGUCUACAGGUCCUGUGACUAAAGAGGAGCUUGGGAAGGCUACUUGGACAUUUCUGCACACACUUGCUGCCCAGGUUGAUUUCUAUUUCCUUUUAACUUUCUCAGUUUAAUAGUUGUUUUUGAACUUUGGUUGAACACUUGAUGCAUGAGGUAUGAACAGGCUUAGUGGUGAUUUUUGUUGGUUUUUGCUGGGCAUAAAGAUAGUUGAGAAUGCUCUUUGAUUGACUUUUUGUUCUUGCUUUCGGUUUCUCUCUGUUCAUUGAUUUACAGACUGAAACAAAUAAAGGAAUCUGAUUCAGUCUCAUGUUUCUUAUCUUACUACAUUGGAUUUGACCUCUAGCAGUUUCUAAGUGUAUCUUUGUGAAUUGGUUGAAACUCAGGUAUGUAUUCUGAAUCAGAUGCUUUUUCUUUUCCUUUUCUCAUCAGUAUCCAGAAAAGCCAACAAGGCAGCAAAAGAAGGAUAUAUUAAAGAACUGGUAAAAAUCUUCUAGCCCUAGUGUAUUAUCCCUAUUUAAUUUUUAGACAGUCAGUUUAUCAGAUCAAGUUGAAAUUGGUAGUAAUGCUAGAAUUUUCAGCUUGGAACUUCUAAAAUAUAUUAAAGCUUAACCUCUUCUACAAGUUAUUCUUUCUGAAAAUUCACCUAUUGUGUGCCGCUCCAAUUGUGUAGACAUGGCCAACUGAGGCAGAGAUGGCUGAGGCGGACAGAAAUCAGAAACAGGGAAAGCUAAAGAAGAGGACUUUGCCACGAGGGAUGUCAGAAUAUCAGGUUUGUAGAUGAUUUUAGCCCCAUUUUUAACUAUUCCUGUCUCUGGUGGAAUUGUCCUCCACAAUAUUUCACAUUUCGCUGACCCUCUUAUUUUUUAUUGUUUAUGAUUUGAUUCGCAGGCUGCUUGGAUUGUCGAUGAAAUAGAUGAAGAGGAUUCUGAUAAUGGUGAUUCCGAUGAUGAUGGUAUGGUAUUGGAUAAAGAAGAGGAUCACUUCUCCAAUCAAGACCAAGAUUUUGAGGACGAUAAAGAAACACUGCGGGAUGUGGAUAAUGAAACUUAUAACGACUCCGAGAUGAUGGUAAGCUUUUCCUCCAUGUACUGCUUUUAUAUUAAGAUUGAGUAUCUUGCCAAAGUCAUAAGCCAAUCUGCUCAUGGUUCAGGAUGAUGAAAACUUGACAAGGGAGCAGUAUGAGGAUCAAAUGAAGAAAAUAAAAGAGGCACAUGCCGAGGAUGAGGGUUGGUCAAAACGUUUUACUUUUGUAGAUUUAUUUUCUCUGUGGGCCAUAUAUGUCUGUGUGUGUGGUGCACAUAUUCAUUUUGAGUCCUUGUAGAGUAUCUGAAUCUCUCAAGUCCUCAUUGAUUUCUACUUUUACUUGUUCUUCAGAAUUUCCUGAUGAAGUAGAGACUCCCAUUGAUCAGCCUGCAAGAAAACGUUUUGCAAAGUAUAGGGGUCUCAAAUCCUUCAGAACGUCCUCGUGGGAUCCAAAUGUAGUUACACUGAUCUUGACGUGAAGCUCAUUUUUUCCUUUACACUGUAAAGUGCUGAUAAAUUUUGUUAUUUGUUGGCAAAUGCAGGAGUCUCUACCUCAGGACUAUGCCAGAAUCUUUGCUUUUGAUAAUCUCGCAAGGACUCAAAAGCUUGUACUCAAGCAAGCCCUGAAGAUGGAAGAAGAAAGCAGAGAUGAUUGUGUACCCACUGGAUCAUAUG
Molecule: long non-coding RNA, 5002 nt
Filed under: Brassica napus (rape)
Lineage: Eukaryota; Viridiplantae; Streptophyta; Magnoliopsida; Brassicales; Brassicaceae
Description: long non-coding RNA (BNAP_LNC018260)
Source: RNAcentral